AUUGAACGCUGGCGGCAGGCCUAACACAUGCAAGUCGAGCGAGCGGCGGACGGGUGAGUAAUGUCUGGGAAACUGCCUGAUGGAGGGGGAUAACUACUGGAAACGGUAGCUAAUACCGCAUACCAUACGAUGUGCCCAGAUGGGAUUAGCUAGUAGGUGGGGGAACGGCGCACCUAGGCGACGAUCCCUAGCUGGUCUGAGAGGAUGACCAGCCACACUGGAACUGAGACACGGCCCAGACUCCUACGGGAGGCAGCAGUGGGGAAUAUUCGGCAAUGGGCGCAAGCCUGAUGCAGCAAUGCCGCGUGAGUGAAGAAGGCCUUCGGGUUGUAAAGCUCUGUCAGCGGGGAGGCGUUACCCACAGAGGAAGCAACGGCUAACUACGUGCCAGCAGCCGCGGUAAUAC
This 406-nucleotide ribosomal RNA is filed under the name uncultured bacterium. RNAcentral's name for it is "partial 16S ribosomal RNA". It matches the Rfam family "Bacterial small subunit ribosomal RNA", at positions 29 to 526 of the family's 1533-position model. The record is from RNAcentral.